CUUCCUGGCCGCGGCGGGGACGGGGGAGGCGGGGGCGGCGGCCGCCGAGCUCCGCCGGCUCUUCGGUCUCGCCGCCUUCCCCGGGUCGGGGGCUACGGGGCCGCCCGGGACCAGUCCGGCCCUCGGCGCGGCCCUGCGGGGCGCGCGCUGCGGGCUGGGCGGUGACAGGUGCUCAUGGAUCUCUGUUUGUAAAUGGGUAAGCCAGUUAUAUUGAAACGUUUUUAAAGCGCCUUCAUGGAGCCCAGGGGAGGGGUCCCUGGGCCUGCCCAUCCCACAGUGCCACGAUGUGAUGCCCACCAAGGCCAGUGCCUCCCUCCUGUGGCCUCGGCCUUGGGGACACAAAGUCGCCCUCCCAUUCUGAUGGAGAAGACGCAUGAUACUUGACCAGAAUGUAGCCACUCUUGAAUGAAAGGGAGGUGUGAGCACGGCCGCAGGGAACCUUUUUGUGUCUCACCCAGGACUGUCUUUUUCAUAGACUUCCCUCAGCCUGAAGUCACAGGGGAGGGUCUCAGGCUUCAAGGGCAGGGCCUGUGAAGGCCUUUGAGUUUCUGCUCUACUGUUUCUGCUCAGGCAGAGCUGGCUAAUGGGAGCUGGGCUGGGCCAGCUGCUCGAGUGUCAGAAAGGCGAGAUGGCCAGCUGCCCCAUGCAGCAUUGGCCUGCCCAGUGCCCAGCAGGAUUCAUGUUUUCGCCCCCAUCCAUUGCCUUUGACGUUCCUUUACAGUGAGAAUCUCGGCCCUCUGGGAGCCGGUGUGGUCUGGAGCACACAAACCCAAAUUCAAAAGAUCUCCAUAGGGAGGCGUUUGAAGCCUCCAGAGACCUUUGUGACUUUGUGCCCGUUGCCCAGUCCCUGCGGAAGAGGAAGGGUUCUUCCAGGCCCAAGGACUAGCUCUUGGUUCCCUCUAUUUCCUGGGGCCAGGGCUGCUUGGGCCUCUCCAAAGGGGGUUACUUGGGUCCUCCGCCAGCCUGUUCAGGGGAUCGCCAGUGCCAUCCUGGGAGCCUUUUCAGUUGGGACUCGUGGGUUUCUGGCAUGGUCUUUGAGAGCCCAGCUUGAGUCCCCAAGUGGGAGUGUUUUGGAGGGAAUUCUUCUUGAGGGGCAUCGGAGCGUAGGUAGAUGUGGCUGCCCUUUGUCCCUGUUUCUGCCCCUUGUCGGGCACCCCGCCUUCAUCUGUUGAGUGAAAGGAAGGGCUCCUUCUCACUCACAUUCUAGGCUUGGGCGACUAGAGCCUCUGUCAGAGAGAGCCCUGCCUAUCGCCUCCUCUGUUUGGGGCCCCUCUUGACCCUUUCUGUCAGAACCUUGCCAGCCCAAUUCCAGAUUUGCAUUCUUGGGUCACCCAGAAAACCGGCUGUGUGACAUUCUGAUGGAAGAGAGGCUGUUCCUCCCAGGCCAAGCUUUCCCCCUGUGUUGGGAUUUGAAAAGGGAGGAGGACCUUGAUUGUCCUUUAGAUAUCUCCUUUUCUCUUCUCUGUAUCGGCCUGUUGCUCGUGGAAGCCUUCGCAGCAAAGAAUUACUGUGUUCCCUUUUCCCAGCAGCAUUUGUUGCUCCUUGAGGUUGGCUUGCACUGGGCAUCCAGGGGCUGUUCGUGGUCCCCCCGCAUUGUCCCAUGCCCAAUGUGGCAUCUGGGUCCAGGGAAGGGGCCCUUUUGGUUGGGGGGGGCCCAGGACUCGGACAGGUCAUGCUUGUCUGUUCUUUGGGGGCAACUGUGGCAGAGAGCCGGGCUCUCGGGAAGAGUGCGUCCAGAUAGGGUUGGGGAUUCUUCCCUGGCAGCUUAAAGGCCCCACAGAGUCAGAGAGCGCAUCGUGGGCGCUUCCCUCAGAGAGCGUGCCUUCCUCUCCUUCGGCAGUGCUGUCAUGUCCAGGGUCUGGGGUCUUUGAGGCCUUACUACAGCCCUUAAAUCAGUUUGAGACGGGAAGGAGAAGAGAUCUGCCUCCAAGGUCCGUUCUGGCUCCGACGUGUGUGGCCAAGGUCGCUGCAGGCUCACGAGGGCAUUAGCAAGGCGCCUGCUGGGGGCACGGGCCCAGUGCUAGCGGCAGAGACAGAACUGAAAAAGGGCCCGGGCCUGCCCUCCCCCGCCAGAGCUCAGUGCCCGGGGUCAGGCUGGCUGGCAUGAGGGCUCCCAACAGGGCCGGGGCGCAGCAGGCUGGGCGAUGAGCUCAGCGUGGGGCGUGCCCUCCCCAAGUUUGUUGCGGUCUCUCCUUGUUGUCAGCACCGGAAGCAAACUUGCGAAGUCGGUAGAUUUGGGCCCCCGAUUGGGGCUUGUGGGGCCGCAAGUCAGACUGCCGGAAAGACUGAGGAAGCUGGUCGGAGCAGAAGUGGGGGGGCACCCUGGGCUAGGGGGGCCUAGGGAGUGUCAGAAGCUCCAACUGCUGACUCCAUUGCUCAGAGGAAAUGCUCACGUGGGGUUGGCCAAUCUUGCCAUUAUUCCUCCUUGUCUUUCUGUGGCCCAAAUGAGUCUAUUUGAGCCUGGGGGCGGGGGGGGGGGGGCUGGGUUGGAGCCUCCCCUCCAUCACUUGGAGGGAGCUGGCUGGCCCAAAGGCCCCGGAAGAACAGCGAGUUCUGAGCCUGGGGGGAGAUGAGGUUGAGUGACAGGGGGCACUGGGUGACCUAGAGCAGUCCCUUCUCCCACUAUCCCGUGGGAGCAGUCCCUUCCCCCCACUGCCCCAUGUCCCUUGGGUGGUCGCCGUAGCCUCUGGUGCAGGGGCAUCGGCCCAAGCAGCUACUGCAGCGGGCACUUGGCGUCAGGGCUGAGUGCAGAUCCUCCUCCCUCCCUUGUGCCUGGCUCCCGGCCCUCCUGCCUCUCUUGUGGUGGACUCGGGAAGCGGGCCGGCUUGUGUUGUCAGAGGAGAGAUGUGGUCAAGACCAAGGAGACAGCUGGCUGAAGUGGGCAGGGAGCCGGCCAAGAAAGGGCUCUGGGCAGGGCUGCUGACCAGCUUGGCCGGGGGGGGAGGGCCUCCUUGGAAGUCACAGACCAUGCUCCCAUCCCCCAGGACCGGGACUCUGCCCAAAGGGCCCCUGCUGGGGGCAGGAGCUGGUCUGUGGGGAAGCCCUGGGCGGGAGGAGUGCCCUGUGAGUCGGGGCCAUGGCGCAGCCCCGUUCCCGGAUGCAGAGGUGAAUCACAUUCCGGCCUUUGUGGCAGCAGGAAGGAAGCCCGCCCUGCUCUCGGGGCCAUGGCAGGAAGGCAGGCGGUCGCCCGCCCCUCGAGGCCAGCUUUGUGCCAGGCAGGUGGUGGCGAGCUUACCAAGAACGGGGCUCCUCAGGCCUGGAGCAGAGAAGGGGGAGAAAUGGGAAAUCUCAGCCCAAGAGUCUGGGCCUGGGCCAGAGUUCUGAGGGACCGCUUGGGUCCAGACUGGAUCCCGGAAGUGAUUGGAAGCCAGCAGAGUCCCGCAGUGGGGGAAGGGAUAUCCACGGGACCAGGCCGAAGGAUACUCGGGCCUCCCAGAAGCAGAGUUUGCUUAGCUGGGGCAAGUUCACCUUUGCCCCGGGGUCCUUGUCCACGAGCUGGUGCCGAGGCCCAGGGGUGCAGGAGGGAGGCUCCCAGGAGCUGGACCUGGACCGAGCUGACAAAGGCAGGGGGCAGAUGGAGCCCCACAGGCCUGCGUUGACCAGACCAUGGAGUGGGGGGAGGGCCCGGCUCUGCCUCCCACCACCUUCCUCCUGGACAGAGGUUUGCUGCCCAGCGCAGUGACCUCCUGGGGCCCGGCACCGGUCUGCAGGCUGGCCGGGCAACAUCGGGGGGGCCCAGGGACCAACACUUGGGCCUGUGUCAGCUUGCUGCUUUUGGACUAACUGGCUCUGUGGGCCAGUGUCCCCCACGGUCCUUGGCACCGUUUCAGAUUCUGGGCCUCUUCUGCUCCCAGGGUUCAGCCCCUUCCUCAUCGAGGCAACUUGCAUUUGCUAUCUGGACUGUGCGUGUUUCCCUGAUGGAACAUAAGCUUCUGGUGGGCAGCCAGGUUCAGCCAGGACAGCCUAAGCCAUUUGGCUUAGGGGAGAGAGAGCCGCUCCCUGCCAGGAGCACCUGCUGGCCCGGGGGCCUGGCACUGCCUGAGCUGGGGGGGGGGGGGGGCUGCUGCCCCCGCGGGACAGGGAGUUUCUUCAGCUGGGGGUCCUUGCCUGGCACUGGCCAUUUUGACUUGGAUCAGGAAAAUAGAGGAGUGUUCCCGUUAUGUAGUGUGUAAUUAAGGGGGCAGGAGCCAAGGGCUGCCAGCCUUGGGCCUCAGGGUCAGUUCUAGGGGUCCCCAGUAUUUCAGGCAAAGUUUUCUGUCAGGGUUAGGAGCUCCUCUCCUCAUCUGGGCUUCUGGUUGCUUUUUGUUUUCACUUGUUGCCUUUGUUUCUGAAUCUAUGGCCUGCCUCUCCCUGCCCAGAUAUCUUCUAAAAGGAAGAAAACAGGUCAGGGAAGGAGCGUGGGUCCCCCACGUCAGCCAGGAUGGUCCUCCCCAUCUAGUCCUUCCCUGCCCCCUUCCAGGGCCACAUCCUCCACCACUGGGGGCCAGGCUUCUUGGUCAGGGCAGUCACGAAGCUUCUUUGUGGUUCUUUCCAUCGAUGUGCCUCCGUACCGCGUUUCCCUGCUGUCAUUAUAGGAGAGACCACGGUGGAGAAGCAGGGAGUGAAUAGCAGGGAGCCUCGAUAUUAGAAAGCCAGAUUCCACUCCUGCCCCAGGGGGGCUGGGCCCAGAGCUUGCCAGGCAUUUGGCCACCACUCAGAAUCGGGACCCAACCCAGAGGUCGGUGUGGAGGAGGCGGGCCCAGGGCCUUGGGAGACGUCUGGGAAGCUCUGACUCUUGCACAGGAGUCAGCGGGAAGCUUCUGGUUCUCUGCUGGUGCCUCCGAGGGCAGGGAGCAAGGGACAACCCUUCUUCAUCCACAGCAGAAACCCCGAGGAGCCCUGGGUGCCCCUGCCCCAUCACCCCCCUCACCUUCCUGGUCCUGGGGGUCCAGGCAGCACAACUGGGGUCCACUUUGAUCGUCCUGGUGUAAAAUGGGAGCAAUGGUACCUUUCCAGCACACAAUUGAGCAACACAGAAACGUCACUGCCCUCUGGGAGGGUGGCCCGAUGGUGUGGUGACUCAGAACUGACCCCCACCCCAGAAUUCUCCUGGGCUCCCCUGCACUCUGACUUAAGAGACAUAUGGCUUUCCCUCUUCAUUAUGAGCCCUUCCCUGUGCUUCUGUUUUGUUUUUCCACGUUUCACCUUAAAUCUGACUUAGUCAGUAAUGAUCCCUCUUAUUAAAGAGCUUGGGCUGGCCCAGGACCCUCCCCACCAAGCAUCAGCAGGCCUGCUCCAGAGACCAAAAGGAGGUGCCCCUGCCCUCGGGCUUCCCACUGGAACCUGUACAUGAAUGAGGAGGGUCUUCCCUGGAAGGGGAAGCUUUGGCUGAGAUUUCUGAUAUCUUCCCAGGGAGCUCACAGGCCUUUCCUUCUCACCUUCUCUCCCUUGGGGGAAAGAAUCAGACAUGGGAUCUGAACUCGCUUACUCCCGGUGCCAACGUCAGUGUUCGCCCCCCUUACACCGUCUGCUUCUACAUAGACGGCUGCCACCUCUGGAGCCAGCCCCCCCAGCUGCUCAGCCCUUUGCAGGGUUGCCACAGGGCCCCCGUGUCUGUAAGUGACCCCGAAGGUUUCAGCCCACAGGGAGAGCCGAUGGUUCUGCUACAAAGUCUCGUCCUUGAGGUGCCCCCAACCUGAGGAGGCCUUGAGGUCCCUCUUCCUUCGCGAGUCUUUGCCUGUGGUAGGGUCUUCAGGAUCCGUUGUUAACAUUUGUUUUCCCAAGUACAUCUUAAAAUACUGCUUUUGGUUUGAGUUCCAAAUUUUCUCUCUCCAUCCUCUUUCUCUCCCUGAGGUGGGACCAGCAGUUGUCCGUGGUUAGCCAUUCCACACAGGAACAUUCAAACGAGAGAAACAGGGACGUGGGCGCUCCAGCCUGCCCCGAGUGCGAGUCUUCCUUUUGGUUCCCGAGGGCGCUAGCCUAAUGUCCGCCUUGCUUACUUCUUGGAAGAUGAGGGAAUUAGACUCGCCCCAGCUGCCCAGGGAGAGUGAGAGGAUGUGGGGGGGGGGGUCCCCAGAUGCCACAGCACGGGGCACUUUUCUCUGGCUCAGGGUCUUAAGGAGGAGGGCUGGGCCUGGCCAGGCCGAGCUCUGGCUUUCUCCUUCCCCUCCUCCCCAUGGUCACUGCUUUCAGUACCUCGGAGAGCGCUUUCCUCCCUACUGGGGAAGCCCAUGGCCCACUGUGUGCUUCAUCCUUGUUAGCGUUGGGACUGGUCCAACAUCUGGAUUGUCGGCUUUUUGCAUGGGUUUGUUCGUUUUUACCCCCAGCUGGAGAGAUCAGUGGUCAGAUCUUUCUAGGCAAGGGGCCUCCUGGCCAAACUUGGGGCCGUCCCCAGCUGACUGAUUUCACAGCUGUUGUGUCAUGUGGUCAUCUGAGCCAGCCCUGAGCCGCCCCAGGGUCAGAAGGCUUUUCCUGGAAUCCAACCUCCCACACACACACUUCCCUCUGGCCUCCGGCUCACCUUCAGCUCUUUGAGGGCAGAGAUUGCUUCACUUUGAGUCGGGAGCCCUGGGGCUUGGCUACGUGUUCCGUGUCACGGUGGUUCAUAAUGAUAGAAACCCCUUAAGAAGGGACGGGCUCAGUGAAAAACUUGUUUUCCUCCCCGGGUCCUACACUUGUCAGUCAGCGCGCAAAUGAAGCUAAAUGCUUUGGGUUCAAGAAAAGGCAAAAAUGGGGUCCCUGGCCACGAGGAGCUCCCGACACGGCUGCUGAGGUGCAGAGGAGGAAGCGCCCGGGCGAGUUUGGAUGCUCACUCCCGCCAAGCCCCUCGAGGCUUUUCUAGUGGCUCCAGCAGGUUGGGCAGUUUCAGAACUCGGCGUGCUCACAGAUGGCCGUUGUAAUGCUCGUUUUUAACGGUUCCACAUCCUCCAUCUUGCCCCUCCCCCCCCCCCCCCCCAAAAGGCUGGCCCUGCCAUCAGUUGUGUGUAUGCAGGCAUGCAGAGCUCAUUUCCUUGUUAGCCGCGUCAGAAAAGAAAUCCAAGAAGGGCAAGUAAAGAAGAGUUAAUGAAAAAAAGUGAAAAAAUUCAUAUGCUUUAGUCUGUAUUCAGAUAUCAAUUCUUGCUCUGGAGGUGGAUAGCAUUUUGCCUCAUGAGUCUUUGGGAUUAUCUUAGGUCAUUGUAUUACUGAAAGUAGUCAAGUCAUUCCCAUUUCUUUGUGCUAUAGUCUUGCUGUUACUGUGUUCAAUAUUCUUCUGGUUCUGCUCACUUCACCUUGUAUCAUUCAUCUAAGGGAGGUUUUUCUUUAAGAUAGGUUUUCAAUAUAUUUCAGUAAAAUAGGAUUUCAAUCCCCAAUAAUCAUCCUGUGUUCUUUCACCAUCCUAUAUGUCAUUUCUCAUAGUACAAUAGUACUAUACGAUGGUAUAUUGUAUUUUCAAUAGUAUUCCAUUGCAGUAGUUUCCAUUUCAGUAUUGCAGUCAUAUUCUAGCUUAUUUAGCCAUUCCCCAGUUAAUGGGCAUCUCUUUGAUUUCUGAUUCUUUGCCACCACAAAAUUCUGCUGUCUAUAUUUUUGUACAGAUGUGUCCUUUCCCUCCUUUGGAUGUUUUUGGGAUCCAAACCUAGCAGAAGUUGUGCUGGAUCAAAGCAUAUGCUGUUUUGCAGCCCUUUGGCCAUAGUUCCAAAUUGCUCUCCAUUUCAAUCAGUUGACAGUUCCAUUAACAAUGCCUGCAGGCAUUGUUUUCCCACAUGCAGCUUUCCUUUUUUGUUAUCUGAUGGAUGUGUGGCAGCCUCUCAGAGUUGUUUGAAUUUGCAUUUCUCUCACUAAGGGUAAUUUAGAGCAUUUUUCCACAGGACUGCAGAUAGUUUUAAUUUCCUCUGAAAACGGCCCGGUCCCUAUCCUUUGACUAUUUAUCAGCUGGGGAAUUUUUAUGAAUUGUAUUUUUAUAAAUUUGACUCAGUUCUUUAUAUAUUGGAGAAAUGAGUCCGCUUAUUGGGAACACUGGCUGUAAAAAAUGUUUCCCUUGUUUCUGCUCUCCUCCUAGUUUUGGUUGCAUUGGAUUCUGGGAGGCGUGUGUGUGUGUGUGUGUGUGCGCGCGCGCGUGCGCGCGUGCACACAUUGUGCACUCAAAGACUUUUAAACUUUAUAUAAUCAAAACGAUCCCCUUUACAUUUUGUAAAGCGCUCUCUAAUGUCAUGUACGUAACUCUGAUGCAGUGUGAAACAUGACAAUGCUUGUCCUAAACUCUUCCCUCCGCCAGAGGCCUGAUGGGCAGGCUGAUCCUUGCUCUGUUAAUCUGUUUAUAGCAUUGCCAGCAGGCCUUUUCUAGCCCCAGCUGCUGGUGCCCAGGGGUGGGGGGGGGGGAAUAGGUCCCCCAGUUACCCUGGGACCCUAAACGCUGUACAUGCUCUGUGUGCCCUUGAUGGUUCCCACAGUUCCUCCCUCCCUGUUGCCCCUUCUCGGCCUGCUUGUGGCGCUCAUGACCUGCAGAGGCUGGGGAUGGCCAAGAUUGAGUCCUCAGGGGGCCCGACCUGGGCUAGCACGAAGAGGAGGGAUUCUCCUUGGGGAGCCCUCGGCCCGGCCUCCCCAGGAGCCAAGACGAAGGCCCUGGGACCUGAAGUUGUAACCAAGGCCUUUCCAGGCCUGCCGGCUCUUGGGGAAGCGUUAGAGUCUGACAGGUGUCGGGUCCCCUCGGGCUUUGGGGGAAUCUCAUUCACAGGAGGCUGAGAGUUUCCCAAGUCAAUGUUGGGGUCAAGUCCCUGUGACAGAAGCCAUCCUGUUUCCAACAUGUCCUUUGCUGGGGCUCAGAGCCGGUGUCCUUGGACAGUCAUGCUCCCCACUGCUGUCCUCCCCUUCGUCUCUUUCUGUUCUUUAAGCAAGGAAGUCAUUCCCGCUCUGGUCUCGAAUUUCCGCUGCUUGUGAAAUCAAGUUGAACUGGAUGACUUUGGAGGCCCGAUGUGUGUGUGUGUGUGUGGGGGGGGGGGGGGGGGCGUGGUGACAGAAUCUGGCCUUUUACUUCCUAAUCUCACAUUCUCAGUCUCUUUGUGGGGAGUGUAACAUGAGGCAAAAAUGCUCUCUUCUGCCCGACGGUCUUUCUGCUGCCUGUUCCUGUGUAGACUGAGGGCUGGAAACCUGGCUCGGCUGCCCUUCCCGAGGGCUCAUUUUAGAAGCGUUUGGUGUGGGAGGUUCCUGAAGGGAAGCGUCUCUCGUCCUCUGGCUUCCCGUCUGGCUUUGGGGAUACCAUUUAUCCUGGAGCCGGCUCUGAGCUUGGCCAUGUCCUUAUGAAAUCUGAGAAAACUGGGUAAUGACUGCGCAAAACCCAGCUCAGCCGUCGUUCCCCCACAUAAUCAAGCCCUGGCUGGCCGCCAUGGCCGUCUGCAGGAUGGGGUUUAAACCCUGCUUCUCCCACGGCGUCUCUGCGACCUCAGGCACUGACGCCUCCCUGGGCCUCAGUUUCCCCAUGUCCUGUGGCUCUAAGGGCCCACGACCCUCAGAAAUGCCGGCUUGUGCCUGUCUCUCGAUCCACUGAGUCUGGUCGAGAGAAAGAACUCGACAUUCUCUUUGUCUUCUGACCUUAUGAGAUGUGUGUGUUUUAAGGGGAGAGGGAGAGCUCCCCCCGGGCCAGGGUCUCCAAAGUGGAGGCUGGGCCUGACCCCACAGGAUGUCAGAGUGAGGGGAUGGAUGGCCACGUCCAUGUGGCAGGACUUUGGCCCCCUUGCCCUCUCCCACCCCUCCCCCUCGGCAUGUGGGACAAGUUGGGCCCAGUGUUGGCUGGUCUCCUCAGUGGAUCAUGACACAAAGAUUGCGCGCCUCCUCACAGGAGUCCCCCACGGAGAGAAUGAUAAAUAUCCCCCAAAACGGGGCCCCUCCUCCAAUCACCCGGCAGCGCCCCCACUGACUGGGCGGCUCCUCUGAGGCGGGGCGGCAAGUUGGGCCCGAGGAGCCGGUCUGGCCGCCUCAGCUGCUGCUCCCACACCCGGAGCCUGACCCCACCCCCUUCCUCUUCUCCCCCCCCCCCCCCAGCCCCUCCCUGGGCUCUGGGCUCCUGGGAGACUUUGCCAAAGGCUCCUGCUCUCCUAGGCCGGCCCUCAUUUGUGCCCUCACCUCCAUCGUCACCCUCCUGCCUCGCAGCCCUGGUUUUCCUUCAGAAUUCAGCCCCCUGCCUCCUGUGGGGUCUUCUGGUUUACCCCCUGCCCCCAGCUGGCCUUGGGGAUAGAAUGGAAGCUUUUUGAGGGAACGUCUGCAUCCCUCGUGCCCGGCAGGGUGCCCAGUGCCCAGGAAGCACCCCGCUUGCCGAGGGAGGGAGGGAGGGAGGGAGGGGCGCCAGCUGGGCUGGCUGCAGCCCAGGACACUCGGCUCCUUUCCCAGGAGUCACUGUGACUCCCGGCUCCUCGGUCCCUGUCAGGACGCCCCGACCCCACGGAGCGGGACAGGGGAGCUGAGUGACACAUCUCUUCUUGUUGCAG
RNAcentral lists this long non-coding RNA (10436 nucleotides) under Sarcophilus harrisii (Tasmanian devil). RNAcentral's name for it is "lncRNA (ENSSHAG00000024030.1)". Lineage: Eukaryota; Metazoa; Chordata; Mammalia; Dasyuromorphia; Dasyuridae. The record is from RNAcentral.